GCUGGAUGUGGUGGAGCACACCUGUAAUCCCAGUGACUCAGGAGGCUGGGGCAGGAGGAUCGAAAGGUCGAGGCCACCCUCAGCAACUUAGUGAGACUCUGUCUCAA
Molecule: small RNA, 107 nt
Filed under: Marmota monax (woodchuck)
Lineage: Eukaryota; Metazoa; Chordata; Mammalia; Rodentia; Sciuridae
Source: RNAcentral